RNAcentral lists this ribosomal RNA (439 nucleotides) under uncultured bacterium. RNAcentral describes it as "partial 16S ribosomal RNA". It matches the Rfam family "Bacterial small subunit ribosomal RNA", at positions 338 to 795 of the family's 1533-position model. The record is from RNAcentral.
CCUACGGGUGGCAGCAGUGGGGAAUAUUGGACAAUGGGGGAAACCCUUAUCCAGCGACGCCGCGUGAGGGAAGAAGGUUUUCGGAUUGUAAACCUCUGUCAGUGGGGACGAUAAUGACGGUACCCACGGAGGAAGCCACGGCUAACUACGUGCCAGCAGCCGCGGUAAUACGUAGGUGGCAAGCGUUGUCCGGAAUUACUGGGUGUAAAGGGAGCGCAGGCGGCGUGUCAAGCAAGCGGUAAAAUAGCGGGGCUCAACCCCGUCGAGCCGUUUGAACUGGCGCGCUUGAGUUCAGGCGAGGUAGGCGGAAUUCGUGGUGUAGCGGUGAAAUGCAUAGAUAUCACGAAGAACUCCGAUUGCGAAGGCAGCUUACCGGUCUGCGACUGACGCUCAGGCACGAAAGUGUGGGUAUCGAACAGGAUUAGAUACCCGAGUAGUC